UUAACUCAAAUUUGUAUGGAGUUGGAACAUUUGCCGCUAGGGGUACUGUUCCUACUACAUACAAAUUUGAGUUA
Molecule: non-coding RNA, 74 nt
Organism: Bombyx mori (domestic silkworm)
Lineage: Eukaryota; Metazoa; Arthropoda; Insecta; Lepidoptera; Bombycidae
Source: Rfam